RNAcentral lists this ribosomal RNA (513 nucleotides) under uncultured Entrophospora. Its description in RNAcentral is "SSU rRNA". It matches the Rfam family "Eukaryotic small subunit ribosomal RNA", at positions 569 to 1079 of the family's 1831-position model. Lineage: Eukaryota; Fungi; Glomeromycota; Glomeromycetes; Entrophosporales; Entrophosporaceae. The record is from RNAcentral.
AGCAGCCGCGGUAAUUCCAGCUCCAAUAGCGUAUAUUAAAGUUGUUGCAGUUAAAAAGCUCGUAGUUGAAUUUCGGGAUUGACGUGAUGGUCGUGCCUUAAGGGGUAUGAACUGUCGCAGUUGAUUUCUCACCUUCUGGAGAAGCUUGAUGUCCUUAAUUGGGUGUCAUGUGGAACCAGGACCUUUACCUUGAAAAAUUAGAGUGUUUAAAGCAGGCAUUUUGCUCGAAUACAUUAGCAUGGAAUAAUAGAAUAGGACGGCAUGGUUCUAUUUUGUUGGUUUCUAGGAUCACCGUAAUGAUUAAUAGGGAUAGUUGGGGGCAUUAGUAUUCAAUUGUCAGAGGUGAAAUUCUUGGAUUUAUUGAAGACUAACUACUGCGAAAGCAUUUGCCAAGGAUGUUUUCAUUAAUCAAGAACGAAAGUUAGGGGAUCGAAGACGAUCAGAUACCGUCGUAGUCUUAACCAUAAACUAUGCCGACUAGGAAUCAGACGAUGUUAAUUUUUAAUGACUCGU